AAAAAAAAAAAAAAAAUAGAGCUAUAACUUCAACAAUAAAGUAUUUAAGGAGUAUCUCAAGGGAAGUGUGGGCAUGAUGACAUCAAUCCUUCUUGUGCUGCCAGAAUUAAACCUGUCCAUAAAAGAGAUGGGGAGACACAGUGAACCAUUUUAAAGGAUGGCAGAGUUCCCGUGGUUUUAGAGACUCCACUUAAGAAGAUGGAUACAGAAAUGCAGUAGAGCAGUUCAAUUUUGGAUUUUGCCUUUGUUGCUUUGGAUCCAAGCAGAAGCUGAAGGUGCUCCACAAUCUCUUGACUCCAGAAUGUGUGACUUUGCUGUUGUUAACCCAGGGCACUGAAGGAGCAGCCAAUAAACCUGUGGGGGAUCCCCUCCUGCACUGGGAGGAAUCAGAGUGGUCUGAUGG
This is a non-coding RNA of Lonchura striata (white-rumped munia), 403 nucleotides long. The record is from RefSeq and is a predicted model, not a curated record. NCBI's taxonomy places the organism in Eukaryota, Metazoa, Chordata, Aves, Passeriformes, Estrildidae.